CCUACGGGAGGCAGCAGUGGGGAAUAUUGGACAAUGGGCGAAAGCCUGAUCCAGCAAUGCCGCGUGAGUGAUGAAGGCCUUAGGGUUGUAAAGCUCUUUUACCAGGGAUGAUAAUGACAGUACCUGGAGAAUAAGCUCCGGCUAACUCCGUGCCAGCAGCCGCGGUAAUACGGAGGGAGCUAGCGUUGUUCGGAAUUACUGGGCGUAAAGCGUACGUAGGCGGUUAUUCAAGUCAGAGGUGAAAGCCUGGAGCUCAACUCCAGAACUGCCUUUGAAACUAGAUAGCUAGAAUCUUGGAGAGGUGAGUGGAAUUCCGAGUGUAGAGGUGAAAUUCGUAGAUAUUCGGAAGAACACCAGUGGCGAAGGCGACUCACUGGACAAGUAUUGACGCUGAGGUACGAAAGCGUGGGGAGCAAACAGGAUUAGAUACCCUGGUAGUCCACGCCGUAAACGAUGAUAACUAGCUGUUCGGGCUCUACGAGCUUGNGUGNGCNNCUACGCAUAGUUAUCGCCGUGGAGGUACGGUCGCGAGAAUAACUACAAGAAGUAGUACGGCGNGAGACGUGCCGACGGACGACGACGAGGGAGGAGG
RNAcentral lists this ribosomal RNA (592 nucleotides) under uncultured bacterium. Its description in RNAcentral is "bacterial SSU rRNA". It matches the Rfam family "Bacterial small subunit ribosomal RNA", at positions 338 to 951 of the family's 1533-position model. The record is from RNAcentral.